Molecule: ribosomal RNA, 785 nt
Filed under: uncultured Acinetobacter sp.
Lineage: Bacteria; Pseudomonadati; Pseudomonadota; Gammaproteobacteria; Moraxellales; Moraxellaceae
Description: bacterial SSU rRNA
Rfam family: Bacterial small subunit ribosomal RNA
Source: RNAcentral
AGAGUUUGAUCCUGGCUCAGAUUGAACGCUGGCGGCAGGCUUAACACAUGCAAGUCGAGCGGGGAAGGGUAGCUUGCUACAUUUCCUAGCGGCGGACGGGUGAGUAAUGCUUAGGAAUCUGCCUAUUAGUGGGGGACAACAUUCCGAAAGGAAUGCUAAUACCGCAUACGCCCUACGGGGGAAAGCAGGGGAUCUUCGGACCUUGCGCUAAUAGAUGAGCCUAAGUCAGAUUAGCUAGUUGGUGGGUAAAGGCCUACCAAGGCGACGAUCUGUAGCGGGUCUGAGAGGAUGAUCCGCCACACUGGGACUGAGACACGGCCCAGACUCCUACGGGAGGCAGCAGUGGGGAAUAUUGGACAGUGGGCGAAAGCCUGAUCCAGCCAUGCCGCGUGUGUGAAGAAGGCCUUUUGGUUGUAAAGCACUUUAAGCGAGGAGGAGGCUACUUAGAUUAAUACUCUAGGAUAGUGGACGUUACUCGCAGAAUAAGCACCGGCUAACUCUGUGCCAGCAGCCGCGGUAAUACAGAGGGUGCGAGCGUUAAUCGGAUUUACUGGGCGUAAAGCGUGCGUAGGCGGCUUUUUAAGUCGGAUGUGAAAUCCCUGAGCUUAACUUAGGAAUUGCAUUCGAUACUGGGAAGCUAGAGUAUGGGAGAGGAUGGUAGAAUUCCAGGUGUAGCGGUGAAAUGCGUAGAGAUCUGGAGGAAUACCGAUGGCGAAGGCAGCCAUCUGGCCUAAUACUGACGCUGAGGUACGAAAGCAUGGGGAGCAAACAGGAUUAGAUACCCU